RNAcentral lists this transfer RNA (63 nucleotides) under Curculionidae sp. 2 AH-2016. RNAcentral's name for it is "tRNA-Arg". The record is from RNAcentral. Lineage: Eukaryota; Metazoa; Arthropoda; Insecta; Coleoptera; Curculionidae.
AAGUAAGAAGCAAAAUUUGCAUUUAAUUUCGACUUAAAACUUUGAUUAUAAAAUCCUUACUUU